UACGUAGGGAGCAAGCGUUGUCCGGAAUUACUGGGUGUAAAGGGAGCGUAGGCGGGAUGGCAAGUUGGGUGUUAAAUCUACCGGCUCAACUGGUAGUCGCACUCAAAACUGCUAUUCUUGAGUGAAGUAGAGGCAGGCGGAAUUCCUAGUGUAGCGGUGAAAUGCGUAGAUAUUAGGAGGAACACCAGUGGCGAAGGCGACUUUCUGGACUGUACCUGACGCUGAGGCGCGAAGGCCAGGGGAGCGAAAGGG
This 252-nucleotide ribosomal RNA is filed under the name uncultured Ruminococcus sp. RNAcentral's name for it is "partial 16S ribosomal RNA". It matches the Rfam family "Bacterial small subunit ribosomal RNA", at positions 524 to 776 of the family's 1533-position model. Lineage: Bacteria; Bacillati; Bacillota; Clostridia; Eubacteriales; Oscillospiraceae. The record is from RNAcentral.